RNAcentral lists this ribosomal RNA (465 nucleotides) under uncultured bacterium. Its description in RNAcentral is "partial 16S ribosomal RNA". It matches the Rfam family "Bacterial small subunit ribosomal RNA", at positions 28 to 507 of the family's 1533-position model. The record is from RNAcentral.
GACGAACGCUGGCGGCGUGCUUAACACAUGCAAGUCGAACGGAAAGGCCCUGCUUGCCGGGUACUCGAGUGGCGAACGGGUGAGUAACACGUGGGUGAUCUGCCCUUCACUUCGGGAUAAGCCUGGGAAACUGGGUCUAAUACCGGAUAGGAGCCAUUUUUAGUGUGAUGGUUGGAAAGUUUUUUCGGUGUAGGAUGAGCUCGCGGCCUAUCAGCUUGUUGGUGGGGUAAUGGCCUACCAAGGCGGCGACGGGUAGCCGGCCUGAGAGGGUGGACGGCCACAGUGGGACUGAGAGACGGCCCAGACUCCUACGGGAGGCAGCAGUGGGGAAUAUUGCACAAUGGGCGCAAGCCUGAUGCAGCGACGCCGCGUGGGGGAUGACGGCCUUCGGGUUGUAAACGCCUUUCGCUAGGGACGAAGCUUUUUGUGACGGUACCUAGAGAAGAAGCACCGGCUAACUACGUG